UAGGGAAUCUCCCACAAUGGACGCAAGUCUGAUGGAGCAACGCCGCGUGAGUGAAGAAGGUUUUCGGAUCGUAAAGCUCUGUUGUUGGUGAAGAAGGAUAGAGGCAGUAACUGGCCUUUAUUUGACGGUAAUCAACCAGAAAGUCACGGCUAACUACGUGCCAGCAGCCGCGGUAAUACGUAGGUGGCAAGCGUUGUCCGGAUUUAUUGGGCGUAAAGCGAGCGCAGGCGGAAGAAUAAGUCUGAUGUGAAAGCCCUCGGCUUAACCGAGGAACUGCAUCGGAAACUGUUUUCUUGAGUGCAGAAGAGGAGAGUGGAACUCCAUGUGUAGCGGUGGAAUGCGUAGAUAUAUGGAAGAACACCAGUGGCGAAGGCGACUCUCUGGUCUGCAACUGACGCUGAGGCUCGAAAGCAUGGGUAGCGAACAGGAUUAGAUACCCUGGUAGUCCAUGCCGUAAACGAUGAGUGCUAAGUGUUGGGAGGUUUCCGCCUCUCAGUGCUGCAGCUAACGCAUUAAGCACUCCGCCUGGGGGAGUACGACCGCAAGGUUGAAAC
RNAcentral lists this ribosomal RNA (554 nucleotides) under uncultured bacterium. RNAcentral's name for it is "partial 16S ribosomal RNA". It matches the Rfam family "Bacterial small subunit ribosomal RNA", at positions 355 to 900 of the family's 1533-position model. The record is from RNAcentral.